GCUGGGAUGUAGCUCAGUGGCAAAGUGCUUGCCUCGCAUAUACGAAGCCCUGGGUUCAAUCCCCAGUUCCACCA
This 74-nucleotide transfer RNA is filed under the name Marmota monax (woodchuck). RNAcentral describes it as "tRNA.Ala". Lineage: Eukaryota; Metazoa; Chordata; Mammalia; Rodentia; Sciuridae. The record is from RNAcentral.